RNAcentral lists this ribosomal RNA (497 nucleotides) under uncultured bacterium. RNAcentral's name for it is "partial 16S ribosomal RNA". It matches the Rfam family "Bacterial small subunit ribosomal RNA", at positions 28 to 507 of the family's 1533-position model. The record is from RNAcentral.
GAUGAACGCUGGCGGCGUGCCUAAUACAUGCAAGUCGAGCGAACGGACGAGAAGCUUGCUUCUCUGAUGUUAGCGGCGGACGGGUGAGUAACACGUGGAUAACCUACCUAUAAGACUGGGAUAACUUCGGGAAACCGGGGCUAAUACCGGAUAAUAUUUUGAACCGCAUGGUUCAAAAGUGAAAGACGGCCUUGCUGUCACUUAUAGAUGGAUCCGCGCUGCAUUAGCUAGUUGGUAAGGUAACGGCUUACCAAGGCAACGAUGCAUAGCCGACCUGAGAGGGUGAUCGGCCACACUGGAACUGAGACACGGUCCAGACUCCUACGGGAGGCAGCAGUAGGGAAUCUUCCGCAAUGGGCGAAAGCCUGACGGAGCAACGCCGCGUGAGUGAUGAAGGUCUUCGGAUCGUAAAACUCUGUUAUUAGGGAAGAACAUAUGUGUAAGUAACUGUGCACAUCUUGACGGUACCUAAUCAGAAAGCCACGGCUAACUACGUG